AAACUUAGGAUAUUUUUAAACCGAGGGCCUUCAAAGCCCUAAAAAAGAGCCCCCCCCCUCUUAGUUUCU
RNAcentral lists this transfer RNA (69 nucleotides) under Cnemaspis temiah. Its description in RNAcentral is "tRNA-Trp". The record is from RNAcentral. Lineage: Eukaryota; Metazoa; Chordata; Lepidosauria; Squamata; Gekkonidae.